RNAcentral lists this transfer RNA (63 nucleotides) under Pselaphinae sp. 6 EF-2015. Its description in RNAcentral is "tRNA-Tyr". The record is from RNAcentral. Lineage: Eukaryota; Metazoa; Arthropoda; Insecta; Coleoptera; Staphylinidae.
GAUAAAAUGGCUGACAGUAAGCGAUAAAUUGUAAAUUUAUUUACGAAUAAAAUUCUUUUAUCA